GCAUAACAAAAACAUUUGAUGUGUUCGGUAUGUAGAUAAACGUGUGUCAAGCAGUCAGAGCAUCUCUUAUUAAGAAAAUAAGUCCCAUAUCACAUCGUAAAUAACGGAAAUGGACUGGAAGAAGCAAAAAUAAUGGCAGGUUGUAAGAAAAUGUGUGGUAUUGCAAAUUUACCAACAAAAGUGCACCUCAUUAGCAUAAUGUAAAGCAUGUACAGAACUGUUGAAAUAUCUAUUAUCGAAACCUGUAUUCUAUGCCUAAUAUUCGUCACAACAAAACCAUUCAAUGUGUAGUGUAUCUGACUGGAAAAGACAAAUAUGUCACCGAUGAACGCACAGAAAGAGAAGCAAUUUGGGAAAAGUCAAACAGCGUCCUGCAUAAGGCGGCAUUUUUAUCAGCAUUCGCGGAAAGAAGAGGAGCAACACAAAAAGAUGAGUUAAAAACGUAUUCACACAGUAUGUAAGAAUUACAUAAGUUAGAUCUACACUAUCCAAAGAGCAGUAAGUGUAUGAAGGAGAAACCUGUUGAUGAGGACUUAAGUUGUAGGCAAUGUGAUGCAGUGAAAUAUCAGUGCUGUAAGGAUAUUUUGUUCCUUAACACAUUUUUAGCAUCAUACAGAUUGCAGUAAACAACAGAUGAUAAUUUCAAACUAACUUUCAUUGAAUGUUGUGGGCAGUGUAGUAGAUUUAUUGAGUUUUACCAUAGAACAUACAGUGUAUGUGAAUAUUAGCCUACUAAAUACAUGUUGUUUACCUUUUACUGUGUACUUCGUGAAAAACAGUUUACUUCACCAUUUACAGGUACUGGGAUUGUCUUCCUUCUGACACUUAAAGUAGAAAAUUCAGAACAGGUUUUUUGGGUCUCUCUUUCAUUUUGAGUGUAAGCAAUGGAUGAGCUACAAGAUCGAUGUACAAAAGAGAUUCUAGUUGCAGACUGCCUUCAGUGAAACCUCGCCAUAUGUUAGCAACUGCAUUAUUUCUUAAUUAAAAUAUCUCUUUUGGGUAAAGUUAAUUAAAAAUUCUUGCUAUUGCAUUCCUUUUCAGGUCACAUGAUUAAGUACUGCCAGCAGCUGAGAGACACCAUUGUGUUCACUUCCCUGCUUCUUGCUCUUGUGGAAAAUAUAAUGCACACAAAGAAGAUUGCUGUUGUGCAUUACAUGAUUGUGUAACACUGAGAAAUGGAACGGAACAAACAGGCUGUAAGCUACCUCAUUCAGGCCUACAGUGAAGAAAAGUGUAUGUAUAACCCACAGGACCCGCUAUAUCGUAAUAAGCAUGCCAGGAAAGAGAAACUGGCAGUGAUAGGCAGUAAAGUUCACGAAGUUGUGCCCAACGCAACAGAUAAGGACUGCAAAACUCGCUUCAUGUCACUGCGGUCGCACUUUUGUGGAGAGCUAAAAAAAUUAGAGCCAGUUAGCAUAGUGGUGCAGGGGCAGAUCAUAAACUUUAUGAGCCUGCUGUGUGGUGGUUCAAUGCUUUGAAGUUUUUGAAGGACUACGUGACACCAAGGAAAACGGUGACAAAUGUCCCAAGCCGUAUGAAUACUGAGAUGACCACAGUUACUGAAGAGACCAUAGUAAAUGAGGGAUAUAUUGAAGAUGACAACAGCAAUUACUCCCAAGACAUAUUUACUGUGGAAUGGUCAGAGGGAAGUACACCUGUAUCAAUACCAUCACCUCUAAGUGAGCAGCCUUAUGCUUCAGCCAGAAAGAGGUGUAGGAAGGACACUAAGGAUGAAUUAGCCACCUCAACAUUGUCAGUCUUAAGAGACAUUGAAGUUUCCAUUAAUGGCAGCCAUGAAGAUGACAAGUUUGGGCAGUAUGUUGCUGCUGAGUUGGAGAAAUUGAAAAAUCCAGCAAUUAAGGCUGACGUGAAAUUGAAUGUCAUGAAAUCUAUCAUGGAUGGCAUACGUAAAGGAAUCUGUAACUGAUUUUAAAGUUAAGGCAUUGCAUUUCAUUGAUGAGUUAUUUUUAAAUAAAAGAUUGCCUUUUGUACAUUA
Long non-coding RNA from Schistocerca cancellata (South American locust), 1996 nucleotides. RefSeq lists it as uncharacterized. The record is from RefSeq and is a predicted model, not a curated record. The transcript has 7 exons. Lineage: Eukaryota; Metazoa; Arthropoda; Insecta; Orthoptera; Acrididae.